Molecule: transfer RNA, 72 nt
Filed under: Camelus bactrianus (Bactrian camel)
Lineage: Eukaryota; Metazoa; Chordata; Mammalia; Artiodactyla; Camelidae
Also listed under: 2 other names
Rfam family: tRNA
About the family: Transfer RNA (tRNA) molecules are approximately 80 nucleotides in length. Their secondary structure includes four short double-helical elements and three loops (D, anti-codon, and T loops). Further hydrogen bonds mediate the characteristic L-shaped molecular structure. tRNAs have two regions of fundamental functional importance: the anti-codon, which is responsible for specific mRNA codon recognition, and the 3' end, to which the tRNAs corresponding amino acid is attached (by aminoacyl-tRNA synthetases). tRNAs cope with the degeneracy of the genetic code in two manners: having more than one tRNA (with a specific anti-codon) for a particular amino acid; and 'wobble' base-pairing, i.e. permitting non-standard base-pairing at the 3rd anti-codon position.
Source: Rfam by way of RNAcentral
GAGGGUACAGCUCAGUGGUAGAGUGCUUGCUUAGCACGCACGAGGUCCUGGGUUCAAUUCCCGGUACCGCCA